AAUGAACGUUGGCGGCAUGGAUUAGGCAUGCAAGUCGUGCGAUAUGGAUUUGGUGCUUGCAUUAGAUCCGGAAAGCGGCGAAAGGGAGAGUAACGCGUGGAUUAUCUACCCCGGGGUCCGGAAUAGCUGUGGGAAACUGCAGGUAAUGCCGGAUGACCUCUACGGAGCAAAGGUGUGAUUCCGCCCUGGGAGGGGUCCGCGUCCUAUUAGCUUGUUGGUGGGGUAAUGGCCUACCAAGGCUACGAUGGGUACCGGGCGUGAGAGCGUGACCCGGCUCACUGGGACUGAGACACUGCCCAGACACCUACGGGUGGCUGCAGUCGAGAAUCUUCGGCAAUGGGCGCAAGCCUGACCGAGCAAUGCCGCGUGCGGGAUGAAGGCCUUCGGGUUGUAAACCGCUGUCAGUUGGGAGGAAAUGCCAUGGGGUCCUCUCCAUGGUUGACCU
RNAcentral lists this ribosomal RNA (445 nucleotides) under uncultured Planctomycetaceae bacterium. RNAcentral's name for it is "bacterial SSU rRNA". It matches the Rfam family "Bacterial small subunit ribosomal RNA", at positions 28 to 475 of the family's 1533-position model. The record is from RNAcentral. Lineage: Bacteria; Pseudomonadati; Planctomycetota; Planctomycetia; Planctomycetales; Planctomycetaceae.